RNAcentral lists this ribosomal RNA (497 nucleotides) under uncultured bacterium. RNAcentral describes it as "partial 16S ribosomal RNA". It matches the Rfam family "Bacterial small subunit ribosomal RNA", at positions 28 to 507 of the family's 1533-position model. The record is from RNAcentral.
GAUGAACGCUGGCGGCGUGCCUAAUAAAUGCAAGUCGAGCGAACAGACGAGGAGCUUGCUCCUCUGACGUUAGCGGCGGACGGGGGAGUAACACGUGGAUAACCUACCUAUAAGACUGGGAUAACUUCGGGAAACCGGAGCUAAUACCGGAUAAUAUAUUGAACCGCAUGGUUCAAUAGUGAAAGACGGUUUUGCUGUCACUUAUAGAUGGAUCCGCGCCGCAUUAGCUAGUUGGUAAGGUAAAGGCCUACCAAGGGAACGAUGCGUAGCCGACCGGUGAGGGUGAUCGGCCACACUGGAAGUGAAACACGGUCCAGACUCCUACGGGAGGCAGCAGUAGGGAAUCGUCCGCAAUGGGCGAAAGCCUGACGGAGCAACGCCGCGUGAGUGAUGAAGGUCUUCGGAUCGUAAAACUCUGUUAUUGGGGAAGAACAAAUGUGUAAUUAACUAUGCACGUCUUGACGGUACCUAAUCAGAAAGCCACGGCUAACUACGUG